GACGAACGCUGGCGGCGUGCUUAACACAUGCAAGUCGAACGGUAAGGCCCUUCGGGGUACACGAGUGGCGAACGGGUGAGUAACACGUGGGUGAUCUGCCCUGCACUUCGGGAUAAGCCUGGGAAACUGGGUCUAAUACCGGAUAGGACCACUGCCUGCAUGGGUGGUGGUGGAAAGCUUUUGCGGUGUGGGAUGGGCCCGCGGCCUAUCAGCCUGUUGGUGGGGUGAUGGCCUACCAAGGCGACGACGGGUAGCCGGCCUGAGAGGGUGACCGGCCACACUGGGACUGAGAUACGGCCCAGACUCCUACGGGAGGCAGCGGUGGGGAAUAUUGCACAAUGGGCGCAAGCCUGAUGCAGCGACGCCGCGUGAGGGAUGACGGCCUUCGGGUUGUAAACCUCUUUCAGCACCGACGAAGCGCAAGUGACGGUAGGUGCAGAAGAAGGACCGGCCAACUACGUGCCAGCCGCCGCAGUAA
This 478-nucleotide ribosomal RNA is filed under the name uncultured bacterium. Its description in RNAcentral is "partial 16S ribosomal RNA". It matches the Rfam family "Bacterial small subunit ribosomal RNA", at positions 28 to 523 of the family's 1533-position model. The record is from RNAcentral.